This 419-nucleotide ribosomal RNA is filed under the name uncultured delta proteobacterium. RNAcentral's name for it is "bacterial SSU rRNA". It matches the Rfam family "Bacterial small subunit ribosomal RNA", at positions 9 to 429 of the family's 1533-position model. Lineage: Bacteria; Deltaproteobacteria. The record is from RNAcentral.
GAGUUUGAUCGUGGCUCAGAACGAACGUUAGCGGCGCGCCUAAGACAUGCAAGUCGAGCGAGAAAGGGCUUCGGCCCCGGUAAAGCGGCGCACGGGUGAGUAACACGUAGGUCAUCAACCCUCGAGUGGUGGAUAACUCUCCGAAAGGAGAGCUAAUACAGCAUGACGUUAGCAAUAACCAAAGCGGGCCUCUUCAUGAAAGCUCGCGCUAGAGGAUGAGCCUGCGGCCCAUCAGGUAGUUGGCGGAGUAACAGCCCACCAAGCCUAAGACGGGUAGCUGGUCUGAGAGGAUGAGCAGCCACACUGGAACUGAGACACGGUCCAGACUCCUACGGGAGGCAGCAGUCGGGAAUCUUCCGCAAUGGGCGAAAGCCUGACGGAGCGACGCCGCGUGAGUGAUGAAGGCCUUCGGUUGUAAG